This is a non-coding RNA of Lemur catta (Ring-tailed lemur), 598 nucleotides long. The record is from the annotation of a RefSeq genome assembly. Lineage: Eukaryota; Metazoa; Chordata; Mammalia; Primates; Lemuridae.
UGCCUGGACUGACCGGGACUACUCAGUCCAACUUCUCCAAAUGGGGCUCCCUGCUCAGCUCCUGGGGCUGCUGAUGCUCUGGGUCCCUGGAUGCAUUGGUGAUACUGUGAUGACCCAGACUCCACUGUCCCUGUCUGUCACCCUCGGAGAGUCGGCCUCCAUCUCCUGCAAGGCUAGUCAGAGCCUCCUGCAUACCAAUGGAAAUACCUAUUUGCAUUGGUUACUGCAGAAGCCAGGCCAACCUCCAAGGCGCCUGAUUUAUCAGGUUUCCAACCGGGACUCUGGGGUUCCAGACAGGUUUAGUGGCAGUGGGUCAGGGACAGAUUUCACACUGAAAAUCAGCAGGGUGGAGGCUGAGGAUGUUGGAGUGUAUUACUGCUUGCAAAAUUUAUAUAUUCCUCGCACAGUGGUACAGCCCCAAACACAAACCUCCAUGCUUGGGGUGGCCCAGCUGCCCAACUGUAUUGAUUGUCUGGUGACAGCUCAGCAGAAUCUCUGGGUGUAUAAGAGGAAGGUGUUGGAGAACUCAGGGCAACUACUUGCUUCUGAGGUCCACGUUACAUGAGUGCCUUGUCUAUAUGUCAGGCAAAAUCCAGUA